Molecule: long non-coding RNA, 1350 nt
Organism: Zootermopsis nevadensis
Lineage: Eukaryota; Metazoa; Arthropoda; Insecta; Blattodea; Termopsidae
Source: RefSeq, a predicted model, not a curated record
AUGAAAUAAAUGGAUCGCCCACGUGACGUUACGCCAAACACGUGGUUUGUAACGCAAUGUGAUCCGUGGAAAUUUGCCCACCACAGGAUAAAAGUAAUUAUUCCUAUUCAGAAAACAGUGAGAAUUUUGAAAAGUUAUUUUCUUUGACUAAGUCACUUCCGUUAGCAAUCUUUUUUCGUAAGUUAAUGUGUGCACCUCUACAGAUUGUUUGUGAGUGACAAUAUUUGACCGGGGCUCCAUACUGAGCAUGUGGAAAUGCAGUUAUCAUACUUAGACAGUAGUACUAUUAACAAGAACAGUAGCAACAUCAACAACACCUAAAUGUACUGAUGCAGAGUAUGCAGAUAUUCAUUUUGUUUGUGAUUUUUGCAAAGGAAAUUCUCUUGCUGCAAUGACAAAAUAUCAGCAAGAUACGCAGAUCAAAGACAACAUUACUGACAUGUAUUCAAAACAGUGCAUCAUAAUCUGAAAGAAAUAGGCACUCUCGUACAUGAUGUCCAUGGAAGAUGCAAUAUGUAGGAUGUGGGGACUAUGUUGGAUAUUGUACACAAUAACCCAUCAACCAGCAACUGUCAUAUUUCUUCAGUAACAGGACAACUUUAUCAGAGUGCAGUAUGGCAUACUCUACAUGAGAAUCAAUUGUAUCCUUUCCCUAUACAACAGUAUAAGGACUGCAAACAUCUCCGUCCACAGUUCUCUCGAAGAGUGCUAUACAAAAUUGUGGACACCUUUCAAUUUCUGUGUUGUGUUGUGGACUGAUGAGGCAGUAAUUACAAGAAGCGGAGUCACAAUGAACACAAUUUGCAUGUAUGACACUGAAGAAUUCUCAUAUUACUCAAUACUUCUUAGUCCAACACAGAUGGUAGGGCACAGUACACUAAUUUUCUUGAAGAAAUAAUUCCACUUUCAUUGGAGAAUGUGAUUCGGUGGGUAUAAGAGCAUGUGGUUAGUGGUGCUCCUCCUAUUUUCCACAAUAAGUGUACAACUGGUUUGACAACUUUCCAGACAGAAGGAUUUUGAUAGGAUGACGAAUUGUCUGGCCUCCAUAUUCUCCUGAGCUGACACCCCUAGGUUUUUAUUUGUGGGGAUACAUGAAGGAAAAAGUUAAUGCCACCAAACUUCAGGACUGCAACAAUCCAAUCACAUUAAGGUGGUGGCUGCUGACUAGUCUCCAUAAAGCGCCAAAUUCGACACCAUUGUGAGAAAUCUGUUUAGGCAGAGAAAGGACACUUCGCACAUUUGUUGUGAUUGUGUACAGUGUUUUCAGUGUGCUGACAAGUUCCCACCACAUUAACAGAAAAUUACUCAAAAAGAAGUACUCUGAAGUGACAACUAAAAAUGCAACAAAUU